UAGGGAAUUUUCCGCAAUGGGCGAAAGCUGACGGAGCAAUACCGCGUGAGGGAUGACGGCCUGUGGGUUGUAAACCUCUUUUCUCAAGGAAGAAGUUCUGACGGUACUUGAGGAAUAAGCAUCGGCUAACUCUGUGCCAGCAGCCGCGGUAAUACAGAGGAUGCAAGCGUUAUCCSGAAUCACUGGGCAUAAAGCGUGUGUAGGUGGUUUGGUAAGUCUGCUGUUAAAGACUGGGGCYCAAC
Molecule: ribosomal RNA, 242 nt
Filed under: uncultured diatom
Lineage: Eukaryota; Bacillariophyta
Description: partial 16S ribosomal RNA
Rfam family: Bacterial small subunit ribosomal RNA
Source: RNAcentral